GAGCUUUCAGGGGUUUCUUGGGUCUCUGCCUGCCAUUUCUCCUGUAGAAGCCCUGGAAUCACAGACAUGUGCCAGCCCUCCUGUGUCCGGCUUCAUGAAGGCUCUGCGAUCUGGAUGAGGUCAAACUUCUGUCCUUUGGAGGACUGAAGGAGGACGUCUCCUGGCUCUGUGGGAACCUGGGGAUCUGGCUUCUCUUUACACAGAUUGAGUUGGUUGAAUUUCUGUGCCCUGGACAGCUAGAACAAACCUGCUUGAAGACUGAAGGUUUUUUGUUUGUUUGUUUUGUUUUGUUUGAGACGGGGUCUCGAUAUGUUUAGUCGUAGCUGGUCUCAAACUCACAGAGCUCCAUCUGUCCUGCCUCUGACACGCUAGGAUUAAAGGUGUGCACCGCCAUGUCCUGCUCCAGUUUGAAUAGCAGGAUGACCGAAGCCCUUGUGUGGACCCACGAAUUGAAACAUCUGCCACCAUCACCCAUCCAUCACAGACUGAUAAGUGACUUCUUCCUUGGAGUAGAAAGGAGCCACCCUAUAAAUUGAUUGGGAUAACCUGAGACUGUAGGGUCAUGUGGGCAUAUUAAAACUCUACUGGGAAAAUCAGGCUCAAGAACGUAUCAGACACGCCAGGCCAAGGAAAGGAAUGAUUCCUUUACCAUCACCCAUAAAGUAAUGGAUACCUAACACGUCAAUGACAUGGCCCCACAACA
Molecule: long non-coding RNA, 703 nt
Organism: Meriones unguiculatus (Mongolian gerbil)
Lineage: Eukaryota; Metazoa; Chordata; Mammalia; Rodentia; Muridae
Exons: 3
Source: RefSeq, a predicted model, not a curated record